UUACAAAAAAAAUUCCUUCUCCUCCUUUCUCCCCGACGCCAACUCCUUCUGCCCCCACUCCCUUCUAUUUCUAACCACAACCCCGUCGCUAGCCACCAAACUUUUCUCUUCCUUCCCAUUUCUUGGCGGUGCCGUCCUUUUCCCCUUCCCUCUCGCUGUUUCCUCGCCACAGCAAGAAGAAGAAGUCGCCUCCUAUGCUGCCAUUGUUGGUUCAACCUUUUGCUGCCGUCCUUUCGCCUGUUCAACAUCGGAAUCGAGCUCCCCACUGUCGACAAGCCCAAGCCAGCUUCCCCUUGCCGUUUUUCCUCCACCGGCAGCCUUGGGAGAAUCUCACCGGAGUAGCUCCCUUCUCACCGCAAUCUAGCAGUUUCUGACAAGGGUUAAGCGGUGAUUUUGGUGUUUUUGAACUCCCCACGACUCAAGUUUCGCUUAGGCGUCUCGGGAUUCGAAAUGCGACACCAUUGGUGGUACAACGCUUUCGGAUCUUGGUGUUUUCUGAAUGCAAAUUUUCAGAAAUACAAAUUAGAAUUUCGCCUGUCAGCACGCAUCCCGAGAUCACAGGACACGAUCGCCUAAAAAUUUCGGAGGGGACGAAAAUUCAAUCUGGAGGCACCAAAUUGUAGAUUGAAACAGGAGGAGUCCAAAUAUGUGGUUACUUCCGCCUAACAACCACCGGAAGGCAUCAAAUUAUCAAAAAACCGAAUAUCUCCGGCAAGGCAAGUCCACCUCCAAUCGCUGGCCGAAACGCGUCAUUGGGAGCUGCAAAUCUCUAGGCACAGGUUUUUGAGGGUGAGAAAAUUGAUUCCGGUCUUGGUUUGACCAGAAAACGCCGUCAUGGGGUGUUCUAGCGACGAUAGCAAGAGGCGAGCUUCUUCCCUCCUUGCUUCGUCAAUCUCUAGCAAUUUCAGGCGGAACAGAUGGUGAGGAUGAGCUCGUAAUGUUGAGGAGGCUCUAUAGUAGGCGUUUGACGUCGAACAACAAUUAGAACGAGAAGAAAAUAGGAGAAUGGUGGCAGCAGUGGCAGUGAGGGAAGCUGUCGGUGAGAGAUAUUGCUCAGGUGCCUCAUUGCAUAUUUUGCAACAGUCAAACUUACCAUUGGGCUCCUAAGAUAAAAAGAAAAAGCUACAGUACCCCUCAUUUAUAUAAAUACAUAAGAAAUUUUGUUAAUUGUGGGGUUUAAAUAGUAAAUUCUUUUUUGUAUCUAAUUGAAUAAUAAUUCAUUAAUUUCC
Ricinus communis (castor bean) is the source of this 1229-nucleotide long non-coding RNA. RefSeq lists it as uncharacterized. The transcript is spliced from 2 exons. NCBI's taxonomy places the organism in Eukaryota, Viridiplantae, Streptophyta, Magnoliopsida, Malpighiales, Euphorbiaceae. The record is from RefSeq and is a predicted model, not a curated record.